GGUCUGUUAGUCUAGUUGGUUAGGACGUCGGAUUCUGAUUUAACCAUCAGUGCUUUCCGUAAGCCCAGGUUCGAAUCCUGGAUGGACCU
This 89-nucleotide transfer RNA is filed under the name Colletotrichum orbiculare MAFF 240422. Its description in RNAcentral is "tRNA-Gln for anticodon CUG". It matches the Rfam family "tRNA". From Rfam's summary of the family: Transfer RNA (tRNA) molecules are approximately 80 nucleotides in length. Their secondary structure includes four short double-helical elements and three loops (D, anti-codon, and T loops). Further hydrogen bonds mediate the characteristic L-shaped molecular structure. tRNAs have two regions of fundamental functional importance: the anti-codon, which is responsible for specific mRNA codon recognition, and the 3' end, to which the tRNAs corresponding amino acid is attached (by aminoacyl-tRNA synthetases). tRNAs cope with the degeneracy of the genetic code in two manners: having more than one tRNA (with a specific anti-codon) for a particular amino acid; and 'wobble' base-pairing, i.e. permitting non-standard base-pairing at the 3rd anti-codon position. Lineage: Eukaryota; Fungi; Ascomycota; Sordariomycetes; Glomerellales; Glomerellaceae. The record is from Rfam by way of RNAcentral.